CCCGGUGAGCAUAGUUUAUACAAAACGCUAGAUUGUGACUCUAGUAAAAAGAAAUUAACUUCUUCGCCCACC
RNAcentral lists this transfer RNA (72 nucleotides) under Uroplatus fotsivava. RNAcentral's name for it is "tRNA-His". Lineage: Eukaryota; Metazoa; Chordata; Lepidosauria; Squamata; Gekkonidae. The record is from RNAcentral.